RNAcentral lists this long non-coding RNA (285 nucleotides) under Elaeis guineensis (African oil palm). RNAcentral's name for it is "long non-coding RNA (EGUI_LNC047519)". Lineage: Eukaryota; Viridiplantae; Streptophyta; Magnoliopsida; Arecales; Arecaceae. The record is from RNAcentral.
GUGAAGUCAUGGGCGAGGUCCGGCUCCCGUAGGAGUCCGGACGGAGCUUGCAGGUGAAGCGAAGAAUUCGAUCGAUGCUGGUGGGGUCCCAUCCGUCGGCAAAACUUAGGAGUGUGGUAGAGGUCGAAAGUCAGUUGGAUCCCCAGAGGGUCACUCCCAUCAUGAACUUUGGCUGGGGGGUAUUUUAUAUCCAACACCAGUCCCCUUACUUUCGAGUUCGAAUCUCGAAUGAAAGAAGUACAUAAAGAUUGUCACAGCCAAAGUUCCUCCCUCAAUGUCCACGCA